RNAcentral lists this transfer RNA (58 nucleotides) under Bacteriophage sp. RNAcentral's name for it is "tRNA-Trp". It matches the Rfam family "tRNA", at positions 8 to 63 of the family's 71-position model. From Rfam's summary of the family: Transfer RNA (tRNA) molecules are approximately 80 nucleotides in length. The record is from RNAcentral.
UAGUGUAAUUGGCAACACGGCAGUCUCCAAAACUGUUAAUCAGGGUUCGAAUCCCUGG